This 426-nucleotide ribosomal RNA is filed under the name uncultured bacterium. RNAcentral describes it as "bacterial SSU rRNA". It matches the Rfam family "Bacterial small subunit ribosomal RNA", at positions 355 to 773 of the family's 1533-position model. The record is from RNAcentral.
UGGGGAAUAUUGGACAAUGGGGGCAACCCUGAUCCAGCAAUGCCGCGUGUGUGAAGAAGGCCUUCGGGUUGUAAAGCACUUUUAUCGGGAACGAAACAUUGUCGGCCAAUACCCGGCAAGACUGUCGGUACCCGAGGAAUAAGCACCGGCUAACUCCGUGCCAGCCGCCGCGGUAAUACGUAGGGUGCAAGCGUUAAUCGGAAUUACUGGGCGUAAAGCGUGCGCAGGCGGCUUUGCAAGACAGAUGUGAAAUCCCCGGGCUUAACCUGGGAACUGCAUUUGUGACUGCAUGGCUGGAGUGCGGCAGAGGGGGAUGGAAUUCCGCGUGUAGCAGUGAAAUGCGUAGAUAUGCGGAGGAACACCGAUGGCGAAGGCAAUCCCCUGGGCCUGCACUGACGCUCAUGCACGAAAGCGUGGGGAGCAAAC